Pezoporus occidentalis (night parrot) is the source of this 1046-nucleotide long non-coding RNA. RefSeq lists it as uncharacterized. The record is from RefSeq and is a predicted model, not a curated record. NCBI's taxonomy places the organism in Eukaryota, Metazoa, Chordata, Aves, Psittaciformes, Psittacidae. The transcript has 3 exons.
CUGACAGCGGUACGAGAUGCAGGACGGAUUCAUGGCUUAUUCGCAUGAGGAUUACUCAAAAUAGAAAUUAAGGAAAAGCGAGGAAAACACGCUGCCGGAGCGGCCUCCUUUCCCCCAUCCGGGGGCGGGAUUUGAACCCGUGUUCUAGUGCGCCUGCAGCCGCCGCCUGGAAGCUGGUCCAGAGGCGGGCCCGGUCUCGCCCCCGCCGUAGCCCCGCCCCCCGCAUGGCGUGCCCGUGGUUUCCAAGGAAACGGCGGCUGCGGCCGGGCCUCGGCGUGAGGGAGGCAGCCCGAGUGGAGUGCCUGCGGCCUGCCGGGCCGUCCGGUUGUACAGUGCGCCUCGAGGGGAAUGUUUCUAAAAUAGCGUUUGUGACUGCAGGAGCCACUUGGGCUCCAGACAUAAGAUGGAGACAUAACAGGUGCCGGAUGGCAACACUUCUGAGCAGCCCACUAUGGCUUCUGCCGUCUGCACUUAGCAAGGCUGUAAGCUGAGGAAGAAGAUGGUGACAUUAGGAAGAGUGGAAAGGCCCUUGUUUACCCAGUAGUUCAUCCCUACCUGGUAAAACAUGCUUUCCUCCUUCCUUUUGCAGACAACUAGCAGCAUUUCAACAGCUAGUUGUGGCAGUGCAGGAGUGUCUCAGAACAGCCAGGUGAUUCAGCAGAGAUGUACAUCACAUACUUGGAUUGUGUUGGAUUUGGAAACACACAUUUGUACCUUAAACCAGCUUCGGUUCUCCUGGUACAAAUGAAGUGCCUAGAUUUACUCUUGAGUGGAACAAAACUUACUUCUAGACUCACCUUUAAAUUGAAAAAGUCUGUCCAUUGUAAAGUCCUUGCCUUUAACAGCCUUGUUGAUUAAAUUAUGUUUGAUCUAUUUUUUGAUGCAUCUUUUAUCUAAAUUGUCUUUUGAUCUAUUAAAUGCUGGGCUUAGAGCAGCCUUUUCUUCUAACAAAUGGUUUAAAUAGUCUGCAGUACUUCGCAUAAACUCCACCAACCUGAGUAAAAAAAUUCUCUAUAGAGAUUGCAGGCGAAUGUGUAUGAUGCAGU